This 239-nucleotide ribosomal RNA is filed under the name Acinetobacter baumannii. RNAcentral's name for it is "partial 23S ribosomal RNA". It matches the Rfam family "Bacterial large subunit ribosomal RNA", at positions 643 to 884 of the family's 2925-position model. Lineage: Bacteria; Pseudomonadati; Pseudomonadota; Gammaproteobacteria; Moraxellales; Moraxellaceae. The record is from RNAcentral.
AGGUUAACCGUAUAGGGGAGCCGUAGAGAAAUCGAGUCUUAAUAGGGCGUUUAGUUGCUGGGUAUAGACCCGAAACCAGGCGAUCUAUCCAUGAGCAGGUUGAAGGUUGGGUAACACUAACUGGAGGACCGAACCCACUGUCGUUGAAAAGCCAGGGGAUGACUUGUGGAUAGGGGGGAAAGGCUAAUCAAGCCUGGUGAUAGCUGGUUCUCCCCGAAAGCUAUUUAGGUAGCGCCUCG